Molecule: ribosomal RNA, 253 nt
Filed under: uncultured bacterium
Lineage: Bacteria
Description: partial 16S ribosomal RNA
Rfam family: Bacterial small subunit ribosomal RNA
Source: RNAcentral
UACGAGUGCUCCAAGCGUUAUCCGGAAUCAUUGGGCGUAAAGGGUGUGUAGGCGGUUGUGUUAGUCUUUUGUUAAAUUCUUCGGCUUAACCGGGGGCAUGCGAAAGAAACGGCACAACUUGAGGAUGCGAGAGGUGAAUGGAACUCAUGGAGUAGGGGUGAAAUCCGUUGAUAUCAUGGGGAACACCAAAAGCGAAGGCAAUUCACUGGCGCACUCCUGACGCUGAAACACGAAAGCGUAGGUAGCGAAUGGG